UCUUGUGCCAGCCGCCGCGUGAUUCCAGCUCCAAUAGCGUGUAUUAAAGUUGUUGCGGUUAACAAGCUCGUAGUUGAACCUUGGGCCUGGCUGGCCGGUCCGCCUCACCGCGUGCACUGGUCCGGCCGGGCCUUUCCCUCUGUGGAACCCCAUACCCUUCACUGGGCGUGGCGGGGGAACAGGACAUUUACUUUGAAAAAAUUAGAGUGCUCCAGGCAGGCCUAUGCUCGAAUACAUUAGCAUGGAAUAAUAAAAUAGGACGCGCGGUUCUAUUUUGUUGGUUUAUAGGACCGCCGUAAUGAUUAGUAGGGACAGUCGGGGGCAUCAGUAUUCAACUGUCAGAGGUGAAAUUCUUGGAUCAGUUGAAGACUAACUACUGCGAAAGCAUUUGCCAAGGAUGUUUUCAUUAAUCAGGAACGAAAGUUAGGGGAUCGAAGACGAUCAGAUACCGUCGUAGUCUUAACCAUAAACUAUGCCGACUAGGGAUCGGACGGUGUUAUUCAUGACCCGUUCGGCACCUUACGAGAAAUCAAAGUGCUUGGGUCGGGGGGAAAAAAAGGUCGCAAGGCUGAAACUUAAAGAAAUUGACGGAAGGGCACCACCAGGGGUGGAGCCUGCGGCUUAAUUUGACUCAACACGGGGAAACUCACCAGGUCCAGACACAAUAAGGGAUUGACAGAUUGAGAGCUCUUUCUUGAUUUUUGUGGGUGGUGUGCAUGACGUCUUAGUUGUGAGUGACUGUCUGCUGACUGCGAUACGACGAGACUACUGCUAAUAGCGCAUGCUCGCAGUGCGCUGCCUCUAGAGGACUUCGCUCAAGCCGAAGGAGUGAGCAUAACAGUCUUGGAUGCCUAGAUGUUCUGGACGCACG
Molecule: ribosomal RNA, 871 nt
Filed under: uncultured fungus
Lineage: Eukaryota; Fungi
Description: SSU rRNA
Rfam family: Eukaryotic small subunit ribosomal RNA
Source: RNAcentral